GAUGAACGCUGGCGGCGUGCCUAAUACAUGCAAGUCGAGCGAACAGAUGAGGAGCUUGCUCCUCUGACGUUAGCGGCGGACGGGUGAGUAACACGUGGAUAACCUACCUAUAAGACUGGGAUAACUUCGGGAAACCGGAGCUAAUACCGGAUAAUAUAUUGAACCGCAUGGUUCAAUAGUGAAAGACGGUUUUGCUGUCACUUAUAGAUGGAUCCGCGCCGCAUUAGCUAGUUGGUAAGGUAACGGCUUACCAAGGCAACGAUGCGUAGCCGACCUGAGAGGGUGAUCGGCCACACUGGAACUGAGACACGGUACAGACUCCUACGGGAGGCAGCAGUAGGGAAUCUUCCGCAAUGGGCGAAAGCCUGACGGAGCAACGCCGCGUGAGUGAUGAAGGUCUUCGGAUCGUAGAACUCUGUUAUUAGGGAAGAACAAAUGUGUAAGUAACUAUGCACGUCUUGACGGUACCUAAUCAGAAAGCCACGGCUAACUACGUG
This 497-nucleotide ribosomal RNA is filed under the name uncultured bacterium. Its description in RNAcentral is "partial 16S ribosomal RNA". It matches the Rfam family "Bacterial small subunit ribosomal RNA", at positions 28 to 507 of the family's 1533-position model. The record is from RNAcentral.